Loxodonta africana (African savanna elephant) is the source of this 107-nucleotide small nuclear RNA. The record is from RefSeq and is a predicted model, not a curated record. NCBI's taxonomy places the organism in Eukaryota, Metazoa, Chordata, Mammalia, Proboscidea, Elephantidae.
GUGCUCAAUUCAGCAGCACGUAUACUAAAAUUGGAAUGAUACAGAGAAGAUGACCACGGCCCCUGUACAAGGAUGACAUGCAAAUUCCUGAAGCAUUCCAUAUUUUU